GACAAUAGGCAAAGGACAAGUGUUAUUUAUCAUUUUUGGGUGUAAAGUGCCAGUAAGUGGAUCUUCAUCAAGUUUAUUUUUAGAAAAGUAUAAUUAAAUAUGAGGACUUAGAAUCUUAAAUAGGAUCUUUUAAACAGAGAAAAUAAAGGUUAAAUUUAUUAAAUUUCUUAGGAAAACUAAAGACGAAAGUAUAGAUCUAUCUAUGAAUUGACACUGAGAGGCUAAAGGAUAGGGAGUAAACGAG
This 244-nucleotide ribosomal RNA is filed under the name uncultured bacterium. RNAcentral describes it as "partial 16S ribosomal RNA". It matches the Rfam family "Bacterial small subunit ribosomal RNA", at positions 519 to 776 of the family's 1533-position model. The record is from RNAcentral.